AUACGUCUUAGCCACAUAGAUACAAAUUUAGAGAGAUGGGUAUUCAAUGUAUUCUAUGUUUCUGGAAUGGCCAUGUUUUUAAUUUUCUGAGAGCAGCAUGGCCUUUCUCAUGAACUGUUUUAAAGAUUAGUUGCAAGUUUGUGACUUCAUAGGAGUAAUUUUCUUCUGCCUGAAACCAGUUUCAUUAAGUAGAAAUGAAGCUCAGUUAUGAAUAAGUUGCUGCUAAAGUCCACAAUACUCUGUGUUUUAGCUUGAUUAGUAAACAUCAACACAGUUUGUACUUGAGUUUACAAUGAAA
Molecule: unclassified non-coding RNA, 298 nt
Filed under: Hevea brasiliensis (rubber tree)
Lineage: Eukaryota; Viridiplantae; Streptophyta; Magnoliopsida; Malpighiales; Euphorbiaceae
Source: RNAcentral